This 1321-nucleotide ribosomal RNA is filed under the name Triticum aestivum (bread wheat). RNAcentral describes it as "partial small subunit ribosomal RNA". The record is from RNAcentral. Lineage: Eukaryota; Viridiplantae; Streptophyta; Magnoliopsida; Poales; Poaceae.
UCCCUCUUCCACAGCCACUCAUUUCACUGUGAGGGACGAUUCCGACCAGGAGAAAUCUACCGUUCAGGUCCGUCGCCGGCGGCAAGACCGGAGCUGUAUAGCGCCGUCCAUCUCUGACGCGCUUCGCCGCCCAGAGCUGUCACGGCUAGCGCCACCCGUCUCCGGCGCGCUUCGCCGCCAUGAGCCGCGGGGUUCGAAGGCAGUAAGACAGAAAUCGCCGCCGCUCGCCUCCGGCACGCUGCGCGUGGCCUGGGGUCGUUGUAUUGGCUGGAGGCAAGAUGGGAUCCAUCACGGCUAGCUCUGUUCGCCUAAGGCGCGCUGCGCCACGCCUGGCCGUGGACUUGGCCGGCGGCAAGACGGGGGCCAUCGCGGCUAGUGUCGCUCGCCUCCGGCACACCCAAGGCCAGCCCAAGGUUGUGGCUGACCCGCUCCCUGUGAGGUGGUGGCACGGUGGAACUGCAGCGCGUGCAGCCGGUGGCUGAGAUUCCGUGGGAGUUUGCGUGAUCACAGUGGAAGAUGCUAACUCGAUGCAAACUCAACAGGCAAAGGCGCAAGAACAUACCUAAGGACGAUGAAUUGGCAGGAGCUCCGUCCAUGCUGAAGAACACCGUAGAUGUUGAUCCACGGAGAGGACAAUUUCCUAUCAAUCUUGAUCUAUUCUCCUUUGAUCCGGGGGCAACAACAAUGGAAUAGAUUGGUACGAGAAAGGACGGAUGAAGCCAUGAAGAGAUUUUGGCGGCAAUCUGUUGUUACGCGGGAGAUAAACCUGUCGUUUUGCUGAUUUUCUGGAACUUAACUACAAUUAUAGAGAUACGCUGGGUUGUUUAAGUGGUGGGGCCCUACCAGGACAGGUGUCGGACAUCCGUUGGCCCUGCACGAUAGUGCGUACUGGGAACCCUGCAGGAGAGCCCGACCCCGCUUGGUGCCGUUUCUUCGUGGGGUUACCGGUUUCUUCUCUCUCCUCUUUAACUAAGACGCCACGUCAGAUUUUGGCUUACGUGGACGGCUAAGCACCGAUACAGACUGGAGCGUUGGGAGGGGCCUAAUAUGUUACUGUAACAUAGCGCUUACCGAGAAAUGACUAGUCUACAAACUAAUAAAUGAAGUCAUCCAUAACACUACUACUAUAUUACUUUACAUUAUAAAGAUAGUAACUUAGACUAAUGUCAUAUGCAUGAUAUUAGUAUAAGUUACUCCCUCCUGUGACCAGCCUGAUGCCUUGGACUAAGAGUGCUGCUACGUACUACGGCUGGGUUCGUCACCGUACCACUGAUUGGCUGCUAAACAUACCAGCAGCAUGGCCUUGUCACGUCGUCUCUCA